This is a long non-coding RNA of Nerophis lumbriciformis (worm pipefish), 3264 nucleotides long. RefSeq lists it as uncharacterized. NCBI's taxonomy places the organism in Eukaryota, Metazoa, Chordata, Actinopteri, Syngnathiformes, Syngnathidae. The record is from RefSeq and is a predicted model, not a curated record.
UUUGGGUAAUAGUUUUAAAAUCAAUUUUAAUACAUUAAAACGUUCUCAAAAACUAUUUUGUAUUUGUUGCCUCUUCAUGUCCUUAUUUUGUGAAUUGUUUGGCCUCUAAAGCAGGGGUCGCUGACCUUUUAGAAUAUGAGGGCUAUUUUCUGGGUACCGAGUAAUACCAAGAAAUACCAGUUUGAUUUUAGUGUGCAGACAGUGACCACAAUAAUUAUCGAAAACAAUUUACCAACCUAGGAAACAUAAAUAUCCACAUGCAACAAUAUUUUAAUCAAUUCCAAUUUUUUUUAAAUGAGUACGGUUAUAUUUGUAGGAUAUCACUGUCAUUUUAUUUUUUAUUAAUUUUUUUAUUUUUUUUUACAAACAAAUCAUGUUCAAGUUACACUAUUUAAUUUGCCAACGGUUUAAAAAAAGUAGCAUUUACAUUGUUUUUUUUUUUCAAUUAAAUUGGUUAGAAAAUAAGUUAUUUUGAAGUAAAAAAAUUUUAUAACAUUAGUUUAGUUUAUUAUUUCUUCGGUCAGUGGUUAACAAAAUAAACAAACAGUUUUACAUAAACAAACAGUUGUACAUUCAUAAAUUGAAAAUGUUGCAGACCAAAAGGGUUUAGGCUGGAGUUGAACACUUAUUGCGCCUAACCCUAUAAACAAUGUCAAAUACAAGAUGAGCUUCCAAAAAAUAUUAAAUUUCCUUUGCACAACAUAUUAUAAAUACACCUUGUACACAACAUAAACACUGUUCAAUUAUAUACACAGUAAAUGCAUGUGAAAUAUCCUUGUACACGUGUUAAACCUUUGUACCAAUUAUACACUAUAUACAUACAAUUAUACUUCCAUUAUUAUUUAUAUCCCACAUUUAGUUUGUAAUUAACAUCGAUUAUAGUAUUAACUACUGUGUUGAUUCAAGAGUGAUAUAUUUUUCAAGACAUAGAUCUUAAAGUGUUUUUUAAAUGUGUGAAUGGAACUGGAACAUUUUAAGGAAUCAUCCAAGCUCACAUAUAAACAUUCGGUUAUAUUUCAUAUAAAUGAAGUGUUGGGGCCAAAUUUCCUUAUUUGUUUAUAUUGUUUUUAUUUUGUUUUCUCUAAUUGAUUGCUGACCUCAGUUCAUGCUGAAUUUCCUGUUCGGCAGAUUGCUCCGCCCACUUCCUCUUGAGAACCAGGAAGUGUUGACAGGGGUGGGACCGUUGCUAUGGUGCGGUUGCCAUGGUAGCCUCUUUUAAUUGGGUUCAGGUGUGAGCACUGGUGGGGCGAUUGCAUGGAGAACAAACAGUUUUCGACCGUGCCGUGCGUGGUCAGGUCUCGCUGCUGUGACAAUGUGCCAUUCAAGGUGCUGUGUGAGAUUAGGCAACAUAGAUUCUCCGGUUUCAUCCAUAAGUGACUCAGCAGUUCAGAAAGAUAUAUCGAACUAUUGUGCUCCAGAUGCCAUUCAACACAACAAAACAGAUGACAACUUGGAAAAGCAUGGAGGUCUCCAACUUCUUUGUGUGUGGCUAGGUCAAGGAAAGGUCAAGACUCUACCAGAUAAAUCAUGCAUAGUUUUUGCUCGGGCUACGCAAGACAGCGUGGAGGUGAAUGACGGGGAACGUUCAAUGACCGUCACUAUCUAAUCCAUUGGCUUCACCUGCGGAUCUUGCUCAGCGUCAGUCGGAUGUGAGGAAACUUCUCCUUGAAGGUUUCGUUCAUGUCCUUCUUCAGGUCAGAUGGUUUGACGUACUCAAUAACCGUCGUCUGCCAGGACAGAAAAAAAUAGCUAAGUUAAGACAGCCGGGGAAAAGAAGAAUGGGUCAUUUUUUAAAUAUAUUUAAAACAAAAAUAUAUUUUGUAUAAAUAUUUUUGAAUUUAACAUAAAAAUAAAUAAUGAAAAUGCAAUACAAUUACAUACAAAAAAUACAUGAUUAAAAUAAAAAACAAAAUGUAUGUAUUUAAAUAAAUAAAAAUUAAAUGUAUACAACUUGCUAAAUAUAAAUGUAAUUAUACAACUAAAAAGCCAGGAAAUGUAUAAAUUGAUUAUGAAAUGGUUAUAUUGCUUGUGUAUAACACGUUAUGUCACAAGCUAAUGCUAAAAGUGUUUAAAAAAACUAUAGUGCGAAAAUAAAGAGCACCUCCCGCUUCCAUUUGAACUUUCAGUCACCAGGUAGUAAGACAAAAAUGUGAGGAAUGUAACGUUCCCACCGCUACUCUUGACACAAUGACCAUUGUUGUUGCACGUCAGCCUUUUGUAGUUGGUGGGAAAGACAAAACAUGGCCUGGCCUUGACACAGCGUUCAAAUAUGUGUCAGGAAGGUGGCAGUAAGUUUGGUCCAAAACAGCUACAACGGGUCUGAAAUGCAGCGCGUGGGUCGUUCGCCGCCCGCAACUCGUAUUUUGAUUGAAAAAUACAAUAAACUGCAUUAGAAUAUUAAUAUUUUUUUAAGACAAAAGAAAAUGGUCAGAAAAAAAAGUUAGCAUAGCAUGCAUAUGUUGAGCUACAAAUAGCCUUCUCAGAUUUUGUAUCAACAUUUGCCAGAAAAUGGUUGAUUAGUUCCUUCUGUAAUAACACUAUUUUCACUAUUCUAUUGUUUGCUUGUGACAAAUAACGCUAAAAGGCUAAAUAGUAGACAAGUGUCAUGGCCGCUCUGUUAACCCAGGUAUGUGUAUUUCAGUGUUUUCCAAUUUCUAUUUGUUCAGUACUGUACAUUGGAUUGGUCUAAGCGCGGUCCUUGGGUUGUUUGAGUUUUCUGUAUAAACACACACGAGAGGGGCUUUUUAAGAUUCCCCAUGUAGUCGUCAUGGCGGGAAAAUGCAGGAGGUUCGCUAACGCCCCAAAUAACUUUGUAUCUUCACAUAUUGUAUCAGCAGCAAAACAGACGAGUUCAAGAAAGAGACGUUUGUCUCACACUCUUUUUUGUUUGUUUGUGUUGCCUUCACUGACUCACCAUGUAUGAAGGAAAGAUGAGCACUCUCUUGUGUUUCCCGCAAGGCCACUGGGGGUCGUCUAGAAGAUUAGGGUCGUAUUCGCGGAAGUCGCUCAGAUCGUUUCCUAAGACCAUCAAUAAAAAGUGAUCAAACAAUUUAACUGCUUUUAAGGCUUCAGGCUUUGCUACACUUUUUUCAAAUCAAGCCUGACGCUCUGGCAACUACCAGUCAGCUACAAAUGUGGGAGCUGUUAGUUGUCCCAUUCCUUCAUGUCACGUUGUUGUAUGUGAUUUAUGACAUGUAUUAUGUUGAGGCAGAUGGGUACUACAAAUGUAAAAAAAAAAAAUGAUAAAGACAACCAACCGGUGUC